Molecule: long non-coding RNA, 161 nt
Organism: Cervus elaphus (red deer)
Lineage: Eukaryota; Metazoa; Chordata; Mammalia; Artiodactyla; Cervidae
Exons: 3
Source: RefSeq, a predicted model, not a curated record
CCUGGGAAAAGGAGACCUCAAACGCAAUAAGUUUAAAAAAAAUAAUGAAAAGGCAAAGAAAUACUACACAGGUGAAGGAAUAAACUAGAAACAUAGAAGUCCAAUAAAAUAAAGAGGAGAUAGGGAAUCUACCUGAAGAAGAAUUUAGAAUAAUGAUAAUA